UUUCCGUAGGUGAACCUGCGGAAGGAUCAUUAUGAAUGCUUUGGGAUACCGUUGUG
Molecule: ribosomal RNA, 56 nt
Filed under: Tuber sinense
Lineage: Eukaryota; Fungi; Ascomycota; Pezizomycetes; Pezizales; Tuberaceae
Description: partial 18S ribosomal RNA
Source: RNAcentral